GAAAGAAAGGCAUAAUCGAGCCAGCACGACAGGGUGCCCAUGGGAGAGACAAUUUGGGUGAAAUGUAGAAGAUGGGGAAUUUUGGCUGAGAAGCACACACCUGAGAGGAGUGGUGUCUUGGAAGAUUCAGAAGUGGGAAGGGUGUAGUGUAGUAUGGGACUCGGAGGGCUGGCUGGACUCUAGGGUGUGUCACUGUAUGUAUGAGUUUGUGGGGUGGGGUCAGCAGGCCAAACCAGCAGGCAGGGAGGUGCUGGAUUAUGUAAAGCCUGAAUCUGGACCAUCCUGUGAGAACUGGAGGAGGCCAACUGAAGCAUGCCAGACUUCACUGGAUAGAAAAGACUUGGCCCAGAAAGCAAAAAGGAAGACAAGAGAUUACAGGAUCACAGGCUGGUACAGAAGUAGGAAGACAUGGAGCUGGUGAAGAUUACUUUCAGGGUGUGAAGAAAGAAAGAAAAGAGGCAAGAAAGAAAAGGAGAAAGAAAGGAAGAAAACCCUACCAUGACAGGUAGUACUGGUCAUAAUUCCACAAUAUACAUUAUAACUGUG
This 546-nucleotide long non-coding RNA is filed under the name Mus spicilegus (steppe mouse). RNAcentral describes it as "lncRNA (ENSMSIG00000002542.1)". The record is from RNAcentral. Lineage: Eukaryota; Metazoa; Chordata; Mammalia; Rodentia; Muridae.